This 256-nucleotide long non-coding RNA is filed under the name Brassica napus (rape). Its description in RNAcentral is "long non-coding RNA (BNAP_LNC010731)". The record is from RNAcentral. Lineage: Eukaryota; Viridiplantae; Streptophyta; Magnoliopsida; Brassicales; Brassicaceae.
AGCCGAGAGAGAGGGGGAACUGACGAGGAGAGUGAGAGAAAUGGUCGGAAGGCCGAUCCAAGCAAUCGACGGUGACCGCGAGUUUGUGUUUAGUUGCGUAUUGAUCCUUGCGGACUGAGCCAUUGGUUGUACUGAAGAUCUGUGAAGGCGGCUGUUACAGUUGAGAACCUUGAGAGCGAAUCAUGGAAUGGCAAUUCCGAUCGGGUCUGUGUACACGGGAUGGAAUGUUUGGAUGUGGAGCGAUGAUUCACGAUGU